AGCGAGCGCUGGCGGCAGGCUUAACACAUGCAAGUCGAGCGGGCCCUUCGGGGUCAGCGGCGGACGGGUGAGUAACGCGUGGGAACGUGCCUUCUGGUCUGGAAUAACCCUGGGAAACUAGGGCUAAUACCGGAUACGCCCUUUUGGGGAAAGGUUUACUGCCGGAAGAUCGGCCCGCGUCUGAUUAGCUAGUUGGUGGGGUAACGGCCUACCAAGGCGACGAUCAGUAGCUGGUCUGAGAGGAUGAUCAGCCACACUGGGACUGAGACACGGCCCAGACUCCUACGGGAGGCAGCAGUGGGGAAUAUUGGACAAUGGGCGCAAGCCUGAUCCAGCCAUGCCGCGUGAGUGAUGAAGGCCUUAGGGUUGUAAAGCUCUUUUAUCCGGGACGAUAAUGACGGUACCGGAGGAAUAAGCCCCGGCUAACUUCGUG
This 433-nucleotide ribosomal RNA is filed under the name uncultured bacterium. RNAcentral's name for it is "partial 16S ribosomal RNA". It matches the Rfam family "Bacterial small subunit ribosomal RNA", at positions 29 to 507 of the family's 1533-position model. The record is from RNAcentral.